UACGAAGGGGGCUAGCGUUGCUCGGAAUCACUGGGCGUAAAGCGCGUGUAGGCGGCCCACUAAGUCUGAUGUGAAAGCCCGGGGCUCACCCCCGGAAGUGCAUUGGAAACUGGUGGACUCGAGUCCCGGAGAGGAGAGUGGAAUUCCUGGUGUAGCGGUGAAAUGCGUAGAUGUCAGGAGGAACACCGGUGGCGAAGGCGGCUCUCUGGACGGUGACUGACGCUGAGACGCGAAAGCGUGGGGAGCAAACAGG
RNAcentral lists this ribosomal RNA (253 nucleotides) under uncultured bacterium. RNAcentral describes it as "partial 16S ribosomal RNA". It matches the Rfam family "Bacterial small subunit ribosomal RNA", at positions 524 to 776 of the family's 1533-position model. The record is from RNAcentral.